GACGAACGCUGGCGGCGUGCUUAACACAUGCAAGUCGAACGGAAAGGCCCUGCUUUUGUGGGGUGCUCGAGUGGCGAACGGGUGAGUAACACGUGAGUAACCUGCCCUUGACUUUGGGAUAACUUCAGGAAACUGGGGCUAAUACCGGAUAGGAGCUCCUGCUGCAUGGUGGGGGUUGGAAAGUUUCGGCGGUUGGGGAUGGACUCGCGGCUUAUCAGCUUGUUGGUGGGGUAGUGGCUUACCAAGGCUUUGACGGGUAGCCGGCCUGAGAGGGUGACCGGCCACAUUGGGACUGAGAUGCGGCCCAGACUCCUACGGGAGGCAGCAGUGGGGAAUAUUGCACAAUGGGCGGAAGCCUGAUGCAGCAACGCCGCGUGCGGGAAGACGGCCUUCGGGUUGUAAACCGCUUUCGCCUGUGACGAAGCGUGAGUGACGGUAAUGGGUAAAGAAGCACCGGCUAACUACGUG
RNAcentral lists this ribosomal RNA (468 nucleotides) under uncultured bacterium. RNAcentral's name for it is "partial 16S ribosomal RNA". It matches the Rfam family "Bacterial small subunit ribosomal RNA", at positions 28 to 507 of the family's 1533-position model. The record is from RNAcentral.